UACGUAGGGUGCGAGCGUUAAUCGGAAUUACUGGGCGUAAAGCGUGCGCAGGCGGUUUGUUAAGAUAGGCGUGAAAUCCCCGGGCUCAACCUGGGAACUGCGUUUAUGACUGGCAGGCUAGAGUAUGGCAGAGGGGGGUGGAAUUCCACGUGUAGCAGUGAAAUGCGUAGAGAUGUGGAGGAACACCGAUGGCGAAGGCAGCCCCUGGGCCGAAUACUGACGCUCAUGCACGAAAGCGUGGGUAGC
Molecule: ribosomal RNA, 246 nt
Filed under: uncultured bacterium
Lineage: Bacteria
Description: partial 16S ribosomal RNA
Rfam family: Bacterial small subunit ribosomal RNA
Source: RNAcentral